GUAAGGCCAUGAUUUCCUUUGGGUACCAUCAAAGCAAUGCUAAUCAUACCUUAUUUAUGAAAUAUCGUAGAGGGAAUAUUACAUUGCUUAUUGUCUAUGUUAAUGAUAUAGUUGUAAUAGAAGAUGAUAAGGAAGAAAUUGCUCAUAUGAAGGAAUGCUUGGCCCAGAAAUUUAAAAUUAAAGACUUGGGUAAAUUAAGGUACUUCCUGGGAAUAAAAGUUGCCAGAUCAAAUAGAGAGAUUUUUAUUUCUAAAAGGAAGUACAUAUUGGAUUUCUUAGAUGAGACUGACAUGUUAGGAUGUAAACCAUUAGAAUCUCCUAUUAAAGCUAAUCACAAGUUGCAAACAAGGGUUGGGGAGUCGAUUGACAUAGAGAUAUCAAAGUUUAAUUGAGAGAUUGAUUUAUCUUUCUCAUACUAGACCAGAGAUUAAUUUAUCUUUCUCAUACUAGACCAGAGAUUA
Molecule: unclassified non-coding RNA, 461 nt
Filed under: Hevea brasiliensis (rubber tree)
Lineage: Eukaryota; Viridiplantae; Streptophyta; Magnoliopsida; Malpighiales; Euphorbiaceae
Source: RNAcentral